AGAGUUUGAUCAUGGCUCAGGACGAACGCUGGCGGCGUGCUUAACACAUGCAAGUCGAACGGAAAGGCCCUGCUUUUGUGGGGUGCUCGAGUGGCGAACGGGUGAGUAACACGUGAGUAACCUGCCCUUGACUUUGGGAUAACUUCAGGAAACUGGGGCUAAUACCGGAUAGGAGCUCCUGCUGCAUGGUGGGGGUUGGAAAGUUUCGGCGGUUGGGGAUGGACUCGCGGCUUAUCAGCUUGUUGGUGGGGUAGUGGCUUACCAAGGCUUUGACGGGUAGCCGGCCUGAGAGGGUGACCGGCCACAUUGGGACUGAGAUACGGCCCAGACUCCUACGGGAGGCAGCAGUGGGGAAUAUUGCACAAUGGGCGGAAGCCUGAUGCAGCAACGCCGCGUGCGGGAUGACGGCCUUCGGGUUGUAAACCGCUUUCGCCUGUGACGAAGCGUGAGUGACGGUAAUGGGUAAAGAAGCACCGGCUAACUACGUGCCAGCAGCCGCGGUGAUACGUAGGGUGCGAGCGUUGUCCGGAUUUAUUGGGCGUAAAGGGCUCGUAGGUGGUUGAUCGCGUCGGAAGUGUAAUCUUGGGGCUUAACCCUGAGCGUGCUUUCGAUACGGGUUGACUUGAGGAAGGUAGGGGAGAAUGGAAUUCCUGGUGGAGCGGUGGAAUGCGCAGAUAUCAGGAGGAACACCAGUGGCGAAGGCGGUUCUCUGGGCCUUUCCUGACGCUGAGGAGCGAAAGCGUGGGGAGCGAACAGGCUUAGAUACCCUGGUAGUCCACGCUGUAAACGGUGGGUACUAGGUGUGGGGUCCAUUCCACGGGUUCCGCGCCGUAGCUAACGCUUUAAGUACCCCGCCUGGGGAGUACGGCCCGCAAGGCUAAAACUCAAAGGAAUUGACGGGGCCCCGCACAAGCGGCGGAGCAUGCGGAUUAAUUCGAUGCAACGCGUAGAACCUUACCUGGGUUUGACAUGGAUCGGGAGUGCUCAGAGAUGGGUGUGCCCUCUUUUGGGGUCGGUUCACAGGUGGUGCAUGGCUGUCGUCAGCUCGUGUCGUGAGAUGUUGGGUUAAGUCCCGCAACGAGCGCAACCCUUGUUCACUGUUGCCAGCACGUUAUGGUGGGGACUCAGUGGAGACCGCCGGGGUCAACUCGGAGGAAGGUGGGGAUGACGUCAAGUCAUCAUGCCCCUUAUGUCCAGGGCUUCACGCAUGCUACAAUGGCUGGUACAGAGAGUGGCGAGCCUGUGAGGGUGAGCGAAUCUCGGAAAGCCGGUCUCAGUUCGGAUUGGGGUCUGCAACUCGACCUCAUGAAGUUGGAGUCGCUAGUAAUCGCAGAUCAGCAACGCUGCGGUGAAUACGUUCCCGGGGCUUGUACACACCGCCCGUCAAGUCAUGAAAGUUGGUAACACCCGAAGCCGGUGGCCUAACCGUUGUGGGGGAGCCGUCGAAGGUGGGACUGGUGAUUAGGACUAAGUCGUAACAAGGUAUCCGUA
This 1491-nucleotide ribosomal RNA is filed under the name uncultured Propionibacterium sp. RNAcentral describes it as "16S ribosomal RNA". It matches the Rfam family "Bacterial small subunit ribosomal RNA". The record is from RNAcentral. Lineage: Bacteria; Bacillati; Actinomycetota; Actinomycetes; Propionibacteriales; Propionibacteriaceae.